AUACUGCAAGUCGAGCGGACAGAAGGGAGCUUGCUCCCGGAUGUUAGCGGCGGACGGGUGAGUAACACGUGGGUAACCUGCCUGUAAGACUGGGAUAACUCCGGGAAACCGGAGCUAAUACCGGAUAGUUCCUUGAACCGCAUGGUUCAAGGAUGAAAGACGGUUUCGGCUGUCACUUACAGAUGGACCCGCGGCGCAUUAGCUAGUUGGUGGGGUAAUGGCUCACCAAGGCGACGAUGCGUAGCCGACCUGAGAGGGUGAUCGGCCACACUGGGACUGAGACACGGCCCAGACUCCUACGGGAGGCAGCAGUAGGGAAUCUUCCGCAAUGGACGAAAGUCUGACGGAGCAACGCCGCGUGAGUGAUGAAGGUUUUCGGAUCGUAAAGCUCUGUUGUUAGGGAAGAACAAGUGCGAGAGUAACUGCUCGCACCUUGACGGUACCUAACCAGAAAGCCACGGCUAACUACGUGCCAGCAGCCGCGGUAAUACGUAGGUGGCAAGCGUUGUCCGGAAUUAUUGGGCGUAAAGGGCUCGCAGGCGGUUUCUUAAGUCUGAUGUGAAAGCCCCCGGCUCAACCGGGGAGGGUCAUUGGAAACUGGGAAACUUGAGUGCAGAAGAGGAGAGUGGAAUUCCACGUGUAGCGGUGAAAUGCGUAGAGAUGUGGAGGAACACCAGUGGCGAAGGCGACUCUCUGGUCUGUAACUGACGCUGAGGAGCGAAAGCGUGGGGAGCGAACAGGAUUAGAUACCCUGGUAGUCCACGCCGUAAACGAUGAGUGCUAAGUGUUAGGGGGUUUCCGCCCCUUAGUGCUGCAGCUAACGCAUUAAGCACUCCGCCUGGGGAGUACGGUCGCAAGACUGAAACUCAAAGGAAUUGACGGG
Molecule: ribosomal RNA, 883 nt
Filed under: Bacillus australimaris
Lineage: Bacteria; Bacillati; Bacillota; Bacilli; Caryophanales; Bacillaceae
Description: bacterial SSU rRNA
Rfam family: Bacterial small subunit ribosomal RNA
Source: RNAcentral